Molecule: ribosomal RNA, 764 nt
Filed under: uncultured bacterium
Lineage: Bacteria
Description: bacterial SSU rRNA
Rfam family: Bacterial small subunit ribosomal RNA
Source: RNAcentral
GAUUGCGAAGGCAGCUUACUAGACUAUAACUGACGCUGAUGCACGAAAGCGUGGGUAGCGAACAGGAUUAGAUACCCUGGUAGUCCACGCCAUAAACGAUGAUCACUCGUUGUGUGCGAUAUAUUGUACGUGACUGAGCGAAAGCAUUAAGUGAUCCACCUGGGGAGUACGUUCGCAAGAAUGAAACUCAAAGGAAUUGACGGGGGCCCGCACAAGCGGAGGAACAUGUGGUUUAAUUCGAUGAUACGCGAGGAACCUUACCUGGACUUAAAUGUAGCAUGACCGUACCAGAAAUGGUAUUUCUCUUCGGAGCAGGUUACAAGGUGCUGCAUGGCUGUCGUCAGCUCGUGCCGUGAGGUGUCGGGUUAAGUCCCAUAACGAGCGCAACCCCUAUCGUUAGUUGCUAACAGGUUAAGCUGAGGACUCUAGCGAGACUGCCACCGUAAGGUGAGAGGAAGGUGGGGAUGACGUCAAGUCAGCACGGCCCUUACGUCCAGGGCUACACACGUGUUACAAUGGUCAGUACAGAGGGCUGCUACCUAGUGAUAGGAUGCUAAUCUCGAAAGCUGAUCUCAGUUCGGAUCGAAGUCUGCAACUCGACUUCGUGAAGUUGGAUUCGCUAGUAAUCGCGUAUCAGCAACGACGCGGUGAAUACGUUCCCGGGCCUUGUACACACCGCCCGUCAAGCCAUGGAAGCUGGGGGUACCUGAAGUCCGUAACCGCAAGGAUCGGCUAAGGAAAAAGCGGUGACUGGGGCUAAGUCG